This 88-nucleotide transfer RNA is filed under the name Armatimonadota bacterium. RNAcentral's name for it is "Armatimonadetes bacterium (groundwater metagenome) tRNA-Ser". It matches the Rfam family "tRNA". Rfam says of the family: Transfer RNA (tRNA) molecules are approximately 80 nucleotides in length. Their secondary structure includes four short double-helical elements and three loops (D, anti-codon, and T loops). Lineage: Bacteria; Bacillati; Armatimonadota. The record is from RNAcentral.
GGAGAGGUGUCCGAGCGGUUUAAGGUGCAGCUCUCGAAAAGCUGUGUGCCGAAAGGUACCGUGGGUUCGAAUCCCACCCUCUCCGCCA